CAGGCCUAACACAUGCAAGUCGAACGGUGGCUUCGGCUACAGUGGCAAACGGGUGCGUAACGCGUAAGCAACCUGCCCUCAACUGGGGGAUAGCCCGGCGAAAGCUGGGGUAAACCCGCACGGUCCCUUUUAUUCCCCUGGUAGGAUGGGUAAACAUUGAUGGGUUGAGGAGGGGCUUGCGGAUGAUUAGCUAGUUGGCAGGGUAACGGCCUACCAAGGCGAUGAUCAUGAGGGGUGCUGAGAGGAUUGGCCCCCACAUGGGUACUGAGAUACGGACCCAAUGCCUACGGGAGGCAGCAGGAGGGAAGAUUGGGCAAUGGAGGCAACGAUGACCCAGCCAUGCCGCGUGCAGGAUGAAGGCGCUCAGCGUUGGAAACUGCUUUGACGCAUGAAGAACUGUGGGGAUGCGUCCUGACUUGACGUGAAUGAGGGAAGAAGCACCGGCGAACUCCGUGCCAGCAGCCGCG
This 467-nucleotide ribosomal RNA is filed under the name uncultured bacterium. RNAcentral describes it as "bacterial SSU rRNA". It matches the Rfam family "Bacterial small subunit ribosomal RNA", at positions 43 to 519 of the family's 1533-position model. The record is from RNAcentral.